This 1153-nucleotide long non-coding RNA is filed under the name Equus asinus (donkey). RNAcentral describes it as "lncRNA (ENSEASG00005025365.1)". The record is from RNAcentral. Lineage: Eukaryota; Metazoa; Chordata; Mammalia; Perissodactyla; Equidae.
CACAAAGCAGGCACCUUACCUGGGCCCACACCCUCCUGCAGCCAACCAUUUCUGGACCAUGUCUUGGAUCGCAUCUCCUCCCCAGCAGCCCCAACGGCAUUCUGACCGGAGGCGCAGCUGGUGCCCUUCCUGCAGAUAAUCACCUUCUUGUUCCUCAUCAGAAGCUGGGGUGUACUCGGGGGUUGGGGAGAGUGACUCACCCACUUAGGACUGAGGCUGCCGGCAGACCAAUGGAAGGGUGGAUUCCUCGCCCAGCGUGGGAAAGCCUCGUGUGGGCUUCCUCCGCCCAGGCCCACAUCAGCCCCGAGGGAGGAUUCAGGGCUCAGGUGGACUUGGUUGGACGCUGACACAGGUGUCAGCAGUCAGAACCGUGAUCUGCAUCUGUUCACGUGGCACUGCCACCCUUGGAGUGGCAAUCGGGGUCCUGCAGAAUGGCCCAGCAGUAGGGGCACCCCUCCUGACCAGAGUUCAGUUAGCUGCGUUCCUUCUACUCCCCACCCUGCUCCCUUCUUCUGAGCACAGGUCGGGGCUGGAGGGCCUCCUCGGGUGUCAGUUGGGGAAUGAGUCUGUCCACCUCUGAGCAGCCCCUGCCUAUUUAGUGUGAGAGAAAACGGGCCUUAUGGCACAGCCUGCGGACCUGGAUUAUAAACGAGGAAGAAUUUCCUGCCCAGGAGUAUCAGAAAAUUAAAACACCAGCAGGAGGUGAGGUGAGAGGCAUGGUAUCACGGCCACCCCCUCCCCCUCCCAGCUGCCCGGGAGACCCUGGAAAGAGGAAAGACAGGACUGAGAGUCUCUCCUAGCUGGAAUGUUCUUUACUCCUGGGGGACACAGGGUGGGAACCCUAGAGAAAGAAUCAUUUAACCAUAGUGACAAAGCAGCAGGUUCCAGAAUGGACAGCCUUACAUUCUUGCCGGUGGCACAAACCCACAAGGGUCUGGCCCUACCGGCUCUCGUAGGCCCUGCCAGCUACCUUACUGGGGGCCUUCCUCUGGCCCUGUUGUUACCACUACCCUUGUUUUCCCCAGUCAGCCCAAAACACGGGGGGACGGGGUCUUGUGACAACUGUAGCUGUCGCUGGUGGGCUGGCGCCUUGUAGACCUUGGGCACCCCCCCACCGGAAGAUAAUCAUGCUUGCGGUUAGGUCCUGACACUU